Molecule: long non-coding RNA, 421 nt
Organism: Stylophora pistillata
Lineage: Eukaryota; Metazoa; Cnidaria; Anthozoa; Scleractinia; Pocilloporidae
Source: RefSeq, a predicted model, not a curated record
AGUGCUUCUAAAUCGAACAAAUGACGAAGCCACAAGUUUGGUGCGGAGAAAUGUCACCAAAGAUGACGAAGGAGGAUACAGUUGCACAGCUACAAAUUCAUUGGGAAGUGAUAGACAUGAGGUGCAAGUAAAUGUCAUCGAUGUCUCUUCGUCAACGAUAUCAACUCUAAAAGACAGGCAAGAAUAUCAAGAACAGGAUUCUUACAAAGUGAUCACUUUCGCAUUGUUGCCCCUCCUGAUUCUUGCUAUAGUGUGUUUCAUCUAUUUAGGGUGCCGCAAUAGCUCUCGGCGUUCGAGCCAGGAAAAUGCUGCGAUUGUAGUAUAAAUUUCCCAAGCAUAAUACUAAUGCAUUUCCUUUUUUUAAUUUUAUUAUUUAAAAAAAUAAACAAACUGAACAAAACAAAACAAAACAAAAAGAAAA